Molecule: ribosomal RNA, 492 nt
Filed under: uncultured bacterium
Lineage: Bacteria
Description: partial 16S ribosomal RNA
Rfam family: Bacterial small subunit ribosomal RNA
Source: RNAcentral
GAUGAACGCUAGCUACAGGCUUAACACAUGCAAGUCGAGGGGAAACGACAUCGCAAGCUUGCUUUUGAUGGGCGUCGACCGGCGCACGGGUGAGUAACGCGUAUCCAACCUGCCCAUCACUUGGGAAUAACCUUGCGAAAGUAAGACUAAUACCCAAUGACAUCCCACGAAGACAUCUGAAUGGGAUUAAAGAUUUAUCGGUGAUGGAUGGGGAUGCGUCUGAUUAGCUUGUUGGCGGGGUAACGGCCCACCAAGGCAACGAUCAGUAGGGGUUCUGAGAGGAAGGUCCCCCACAUUGGAACUGAGACACGGUCCAAACUCCUACGGGAGGCAGCAGUGAGGAAGAGUGGUCAAUGGGCGAGAGCCUGAACCAGCCAAGUAGCGUGCAGGAUGACGGCCCUAUGGGUUGUAAACUGCUUUUAUAAGGGAAUAAAGUGGGUCUCGGGAGACUUUUUGCAUGUACCUUAUGAAUAAGGACCGGCUAAUUCCGUG